ACGAACGCUGGCGGCAGGCCUAACACAUGCAAGUCGAACGCCCCGCAAGGGGAGUGGCAGACGGGUGAGUAACGCGUGGGAACCUUCCCUGUGGUGCGGAAUAACUCGCCGAAAGGCGUGCUAAUACCGCAUAAGCCCGCAAGGGGAAAGAUUUAUCGCCAUAGGAUGGGCCCGCGUAGGAUUAGCUAGUUGGUGAGGUAAUGGCUCACCAAGGCGACGAUCCUUAGCUGGUUUGAGAGAAUGACCAGCCACACUGGGACUGAGACACGGCCCAGACUCCUACGGGAGGCAGCAGUGGGGAAUCUUGGACAAUGGGCGCAAGCCUGAUCCAGCCAUGCCGCGUGAGUGACGAAGGCCUUCGGGUUGUAAAGCUCUUUUGGCGGGGACGAUAAUGACGGUACCCGCAGAAUAAGCCCCGGCUAACUUCGUGCCAGCCGCCGCAGUAAU
RNAcentral lists this ribosomal RNA (447 nucleotides) under uncultured bacterium. RNAcentral describes it as "bacterial SSU rRNA". It matches the Rfam family "Bacterial small subunit ribosomal RNA", at positions 29 to 524 of the family's 1533-position model. The record is from RNAcentral.